AGUCGCGUGACCGAGUGGAUAGGUGGUGGUCUGCAAAACCCCAAACGGCAGUUCGAAUCUGCCCGCGACGU
This 71-nucleotide transfer RNA is filed under the name Mucilaginibacter sp. RNAcentral's name for it is "tRNA-Cys". It matches the Rfam family "tRNA". From Rfam's summary of the family: Transfer RNA (tRNA) molecules are approximately 80 nucleotides in length. Their secondary structure includes four short double-helical elements and three loops (D, anti-codon, and T loops). Lineage: Bacteria; Pseudomonadati; Bacteroidota; Sphingobacteriia; Sphingobacteriales; Sphingobacteriaceae. The record is from RNAcentral.